UCUGAAUAGAUGUCGUCUGAGUCCUAUCGAAUUGAACUAAAAACUUUCAACAACGGAUCUCUUGGUUCUGGCAUCGAUGAAGAACGCAGCGAAAUGCGAUAAGUAAUGUGAAUUGCAGAAUUCAGUGAAUCAUCGAAUCUUUGAACGCACAUUGCGCCCC
RNAcentral lists this ribosomal RNA (160 nucleotides) under Sticta fragilinata. Its description in RNAcentral is "5.8S ribosomal RNA". The stretch from base 42 to 160 matches the Rfam family "5.8S ribosomal RNA", at positions 1 to 119 of the family's 154-position model. From Rfam's summary of the family: 5.8S ribosomal RNA (5.8S rRNA) is a component of the large subunit of the eukaryotic ribosome. It is transcribed by RNA polymerase I as part of the 45S precursor that also contains 18S and 28S rRNA. Functionally, it is thought that 5.8S rRNA may be involved in ribosome translocation. Lineage: Eukaryota; Fungi; Ascomycota; Lecanoromycetes; Peltigerales; Lobariaceae. The record is from RNAcentral.